UCCGGUGGCUAUGACGAAGAGGUUCCACCUGUUCCCAUACCGAACACAGAAGUUAAGCUCUUCAGUGCCGAUGGUACUUGACUGGCAACGGUCCGGGAGAGUAGGUCGCCGCCGGAU
This is a non-coding RNA of Clostridiales bacterium, 117 nucleotides long. NCBI's taxonomy places the organism in Bacteria, Bacillati, Bacillota, Clostridia, Eubacteriales. The record is from Rfam.